RNAcentral lists this ribosomal RNA (402 nucleotides) under uncultured prokaryote. RNAcentral describes it as "bacterial SSU rRNA". It matches the Rfam family "Bacterial small subunit ribosomal RNA", at positions 355 to 774 of the family's 1533-position model. The record is from RNAcentral.
UAGGGAAUAUUAGACAUGGACGCAAGUCUGAUCUAGCAACACCGCGUGUGCGAAGCAGGCCUUCGGGUUGUAAAGCACUUUUUGGAAGGAUUAGGAAGGAAUGUACUUCCAGAAUAAGUCUCGGCUAACUACGUGCCAGCAGCCGCGGUAACACGUAGGAGGCAAACGUUAUCCGGAUUUACUGGUCGUAAAGCGCGUGUAGGUGGUUCUGUAAGUAGGGCGUGAAAGCUCCUGGCUCAACUGGGAGAGGCCGUUCUAAACUGCAGAGCUAGAGGAUGGUAGAGGGAGGUGGAAGUCCGGGUGUAGCGGUGGAAUGCGCAGAUAUCCGGAGGAACACCAGUGGCGAAAGCGGCCUCCUGGACCAUUCCUGACACUCAGACGCGAAAGCUAGGGUAGCAAACG